GUCUGGAACAAGGAGAAAAGAGGGGAAACCCUCUCAUUCAACAAAUCAGUGGAAUUGGAAGGGAAAUUAAAGUUUGAUUGUAUGCAUGAACACCAAUCCUUGAUCACCUAAGAAUUUCCUACAUAAGGGAUCAAGGAAGAAAGCUCGAGUCGUUCCGGGUCGCAAACAAACAACGACAAAGGUAAAGCUACUUGAUGGAUGGCAUAUUUGGACCGAACACACUUGUGAUGCACGCUUCCGCGAAGUUGCUAGUCGUGGUCUAAACUUUUGUUAAAUGUUUCUUUUGUUUAAAACGGGUCUUAUGUAAGUAACUUAAUCCGGUAGUUCUUAGAUCUUGAACUUGUAGUUAAAUUGUAUGGGUUGUAAACUCUUUUUGUAACUAUUUCGUUAGUCAUGUUGAAGUAAAUGCAGAAUUUUAGUUAUGAACUAUUCGACCCGUUUGGUUUUUGUCA
Helianthus annuus (common sunflower) is the source of this 452-nucleotide long non-coding RNA. RefSeq lists it as uncharacterized. The record is from RefSeq and is a predicted model, not a curated record. The transcript has 3 exons. NCBI's taxonomy places the organism in Eukaryota, Viridiplantae, Streptophyta, Magnoliopsida, Asterales, Asteraceae.